UGCGUAGGCGGCCCGUUAAGUCAGGGGUGAAAGGCUGUAGCUCAACUACAGAAUUGCCUUUGAUACUGACAGGCUUGAAAUAAAUUGAGGUUGGCGGAAUGUGACAUGUAGCGGUGAAAUGCAUAGAUAUGUCAUAGAACACCAAUUGCGAAGGCAGCUGACUAGAUUUUAUUUGACGCUGAGGCACGAAAGCGUGUGGAGCGAACAGGAUUAGAUACCCUGGUAGUCC
RNAcentral lists this ribosomal RNA (229 nucleotides) under uncultured bacterium. RNAcentral describes it as "partial 16S ribosomal RNA". It matches the Rfam family "Bacterial small subunit ribosomal RNA", at positions 568 to 796 of the family's 1533-position model. The record is from RNAcentral.